RNAcentral lists this ribosomal RNA (397 nucleotides) under uncultured bacterium. RNAcentral's name for it is "partial 16S ribosomal RNA". It matches the Rfam family "Bacterial small subunit ribosomal RNA", at positions 523 to 918 of the family's 1533-position model. The record is from RNAcentral.
AUACGUAGGUGGCAAGCGUUGUCCGGAAUUAUUGGGCGUAAAGCGCGCGCAGGUGGUUCCUUAAGUCUGAUGUGAAAGCCCCCGGCUCAACCGGGGAGGGUCAUUGGAAACUGGGGAACUUGAGUGCAGAAGAGGAUAGUGGAAUUCCAAGUGUAGCGGUGAAAUGCGUAGAGAUUUGGAGGAACACCAGUGGCGAAGGCGACUGUCUGGUCUGUAACUGACACUGAGGCGCGAAAGCGUGGGGAGCAAACAGGAUUGGAUACCCUGGUAGUCCACGCCGUAAACGAUGAGUGCUAAGUGUUGGGGGGUUUCCGCCCCUCAGUGCUGCAGCUAACGCAUUAAGCACUCCGCCUGGGGAGUACGGUCGCAAGACUGAAACUCAAAGGAAUUGACGGGG